RNAcentral lists this ribosomal RNA (500 nucleotides) under Ailoscolex lacteospumosus. Its description in RNAcentral is "partial 16S ribosomal RNA". It matches the Rfam family "Bacterial large subunit ribosomal RNA", at positions 1808 to 2606 of the family's 2925-position model. The record is from RNAcentral. Lineage: Eukaryota; Metazoa; Annelida; Clitellata; Crassiclitellata; Ailoscolecidae.
CAAAAACAUUGCUUUUUGAUAUUAAUAUAAAAAGUAACUCCUGCCCAGUGAAUUUUUCAACGGCCGCGGUAUUCUAACCGUGCAAAGGUAGCAUAAUCACUUGCCCAUUAAUUGUGGGCUGGAAUGAAUGGAUUAACGAAAUAAAAACUGUCUCUAUAAAUGAAAUAAAAAUUAAUCUUUAGCUGAAGAGUGCUAAAUAAAAUCGAAGGACAAGAAGACCCUAUAGAGCUUUAUUUAAAUCAAGGUAUAAAAUCCUUUAUAAAAUUCGGUUGGGGCGACCAAGGAUAUAAAAAUCAUCCUUAAAUUAAAGAUUUAUAUAUCAAAUAAAGACCCUUAAACAAGAACAAAAAAACAAGCUACCUUAGGGAUAACAGGCUAAUCCCAUUAAAGAGCCCUUAUCAAUAAUGGGGGUUGGCACCUCGAUGUUGGCUUAGGGAAACAAUGUGGCGCAAAAGCCACAUAAAGAUGGUUUGUUCAACCAAUAAAACCCUACGUGAUCU